Long non-coding RNA from Panthera uncia (snow leopard), 859 nucleotides. RefSeq lists it as uncharacterized. Lineage: Eukaryota; Metazoa; Chordata; Mammalia; Carnivora; Felidae. The transcript has 4 exons. The record is from RefSeq and is a predicted model, not a curated record.
CUCUGUUUGUUGCAUCACUCUGGUUGUCUAGGAGAUUAGCCCAGAUUAGGAACUGGGUGGAGCAAAGUGGAUCAGAUGAGCUCACGGACAACACUGUUGCUGUUUGCACGGGGGACCUUAGUAACCGGCCAGAAAGCGCUUGGCCCAAAUCUUGUUCCUCCUGAAUUCGGGCACAUGGACAGGGGCUCCUGGGAGAACUGAGCAUGGGUUAUGGGCUCAGACAGUCCCACGUUCAAAUUCCAACUCUGCUUCCUACUUCCUGUGUGACUUUGGGCAGAUUGCUUCUCUUGUGAUUUCCCAUUUUCCUCCAGUUGAGGAUACUACCCACCUCUGGGACUUCUAAGGACUUAGUGAUAAGCAGGUGGAUGAAUGUUGUAAAGUGACCACACCUGGACAGAGAAGACUCAUGUGACAGAGGACAUCAGAGUAUGUACAAUGCCUGGUGACCGGCUGAUAAGAAGGGGUCCCAAGAGGAGAUGGCUUGUCACAUUGCAGGGGGCCAUGUGGAGAAGCACCAGAGGCCGUUAAGAGGCAGAGGGAAUGGGGAAAUGUGAGCAGGAGUUUUCCCUGUGGUCUCUGCAGGAAGGAACAGGUGACGGACUCACUGAAGCCACCCUUACAUUUUCUUUGUCGAGAGAAAGGCAGCACGAGAUGAGAUGACUGGAGCUGCUGCAGCCAUCUUGCAAACAUGAGGACAGAUCUUGUAGACCUGUCAGAGAUGGCAGAGGAAGAUCUCUGGGCUCUUCGUGGCAUAAGAACUGAAAAAAUAGCUCUGAAAUCACUCACCCCUAGACGUCUUACAAAGUUAGACACAGAUGUUUAUGUCAUUUAAACCACUCCUCGUUGGGUAUCACUGCUU